RNAcentral lists this ribosomal RNA (312 nucleotides) under uncultured Glomeromycotina. Its description in RNAcentral is "LSU rRNA". Lineage: Eukaryota; Fungi; Glomeromycota. The record is from RNAcentral.
UUGAAAGGGAAACGAUUGAAGUCAGUCAUGCCGGUGGGAAUCAACUUAGGGGAAACUCUGGGUGCACUUCUUCGCUUGGCAGGUCAACGUCGAUUUUGAAUGUCAUAAAAUAAUUGGGGGAAGGUAGCUCCUUCGAGAGUGUUAUAGCCCUUGAUAGAUGUGAUGUUUGAGGUCGAGGAUUGCAACGGAUACCCUUUGGGGCUAGCUGCCUGAUCUCUAAUUGGUGUUGGGUUACGGAUAGCAUGCUGACCGUGAUCUAAUUACUGGUUAAAAGGUUAGAGCGUGCAUAAAUUCGUUAAGGAUGUUGACGUA